This 240-nucleotide unclassified non-coding RNA is filed under the name soil metagenome. RNAcentral's name for it is "partial contains 5.8S ribosomal RNA, internal transcribed spacer 2, and large subunit ribosomal RNA". The record is from RNAcentral.
AACACUGUUAACCUGCGGUACCUGCGGAAGGAUCAUUAGUGAAUUUGUUUUGUGGUUGGGGUAUCUUGCCAAUUUACAAGAUAUCCACCCAAACACCCCCACUAUUAUCACGCCGGCUGAGAGAGCAAUUUUUUCAGUCGAGAGCCUAGUAAGCUCGGAAAUUUGAAGGUUUAAGGGACUUUUUUGUCCUUUGACCUUUGUUUUUUAGAACCAUAUAGUCAUGUAUGUUAAGUAGUAUUC